RNAcentral lists this ribosomal RNA (468 nucleotides) under uncultured bacterium. RNAcentral describes it as "partial 16S ribosomal RNA". It matches the Rfam family "Bacterial small subunit ribosomal RNA", at positions 28 to 507 of the family's 1533-position model. The record is from RNAcentral.
GACGAACGCUGGCGGCGUGCUUAACACAUGCAAGUCGAACGGAAAGGCCCUGCUUUUGUGGGGUGCUCGAGUGGCGAACGGGUGAGUAACACGUGAGUAACCUGCCCUUGACUUUGGGAUAACUUCAGGAAACUGGGGCUAAUACCGGAUAGGAGCUCCUGCUGCAUGGUGGGGGUUGGAAAGUUUCGGCGGUUGGGGAUGGACUCGCGGCUUAUCAGCUUGUUGGUGGGGUAGUGGCAUACCAAGGCUUUGACGGGUAGCCGGCCUGAGAGGGUGACCGGCCACAUUGGGACUGAGAUACGGCCCAGACUCCUACGGGAGGCAACAGUGGCGAAUAUUGCACAAUGGGCGGAAGCCUGAUGCAGCAACGCCGCGUGCGGGAUGACGGCCUUCGGGUUGUAAACCGCUUUCGCCUGUGACGAAGCGUGAGUGACGGUAAUGGGUAAAGAAGCACCGGCUAACUACGUG